CCCUGGCGACGAGUGGCGGACGGGUGAGGAAUGCUUGGGAAUCUGCCUGUUAGUGGGGGACAACCCGGGGAAACCCGGGCUAAUACCGCAUACGCUCUACGGAGGAAAGCGGGGGACCGUAAGGCCUCGCGCUAACAGAUGAGCCCAAGUCGGAUUAGCUAGUUGGUGGGGUAAAAGCCUACCAAGGCUACGAUCCGUAGCUGGUCUGAGAGGACGAUCGGCCACACUGGGACUGAGACACGGCCCAG
RNAcentral lists this ribosomal RNA (248 nucleotides) under uncultured bacterium. RNAcentral's name for it is "partial 16S ribosomal RNA". It matches the Rfam family "Bacterial small subunit ribosomal RNA", at positions 83 to 334 of the family's 1533-position model. The record is from RNAcentral.